Non-coding RNA from Parelaphostrongylus tenuis, 74 nucleotides. The record is from the annotation of a GenBank genome assembly. NCBI's taxonomy places the organism in Eukaryota, Metazoa, Nematoda, Chromadorea, Rhabditida, Metastrongylidae.
GAGUCGUUAGUGCAGUUGGUUAAGCACGCGUCCCGAGAUAGGAUGAAAGGCGGGUUCAAGUCCCUCCUGACACA